Molecule: long non-coding RNA, 1801 nt
Organism: Oncorhynchus tshawytscha (Chinook salmon)
Lineage: Eukaryota; Metazoa; Chordata; Actinopteri; Salmoniformes; Salmonidae
Source: Ensembl
UUGUUCCUGUCUCUGUGUUUGUUUGCACCAGAUAGGGCUGGUUAGGUUUUUCACGGUACGUUUAUUGUUUAUUUUAUUAUUAUUAUUAUUUUAUUUAUCAUUUUGGUCCUCCUCUCUUUCACCGGAAGAAAACCUUAACAUCAAGAAGGCAAUGAGCUCAGUUGGGUCUUUUUAAAAAUGGCAGGGGUAAAUAGCUUUUUUCACUCGAUCUGUAAAUGUAAAUAAAACACUAUAAAGAGUUUAUAUAAUGUGUCAUUACAUACUUAUUUAAAGGUUUAUGUCGAAUUUGAAUCGGGUUUUUUGGGCGGUGCUAAGGUGAUCUUCAGAAGUAAACAGCGGCUUUUGAGAGCUAUGAUAGCUUACAGUGAGGAUGCAAAAAGUGAUUAGGUAUUCCCCCUUACCCUGUUCCUGUCUUUUUCUUGUUUUUAAACGGUGAGAGAAGUGCUACACCUGGUGGAAAGAUGCUGUAAGACCGAAUUAGUUGCUUUAUUCGCGCUGCACGUUACGUCAUGACACGAUGUAACUUACAGCGUCGGAGGGUUCAGUUUUUUUCAACUUUUCUCCGAUACUAUAGAGCCAUUACCAUGUCAAUCAAUGCUUGAUUAGAAACAUAGUUCACACCCCAGUUGUUGAUGUCAACACAGUCACUACAGUCCCAUUAGUUUUCUUUGCAUCCUUGUUUGAAUGUCGCGGUUGCGCACAUUUGUACCGAAUGGGGUUAGCGUCCAUUAGUUGGUUAGCUUUAGCUAGCUAUGACAAUCGGUUUGUCAUGCCAGUACUCUAUGGGUUGUGAUUAUGGUUAAUUGGUUAGCAAGCUAGCUAGCUACAUCUCAAAACAAGACUCUACUUCGCCCGAUGAUUACAUGACUAAUCAAGUUAGCCAGGUGUGUCUGACGAUUACAGAUUUCUAUUGUAUAAUAAUGCUAAAAUAUUUGUAUCUGGAAUUUGUCUUUCAGCCUCAGUAGAACACACCUGACUAUCCUCCACCAGUCAUACAAGGAGAAUAGUCUAAUGCCUAUCAAAAAGAGAUCUGACCCAAGCAAGCACAGGUUACACAUGAAGCAUCAGGACUUGCAGCGAGUGGUGAACUUCAUCAACACCUAUGCAGAGGAUAAUGCAAUAGUAUUACCUGGACGCCAACCAGGACACAAACACUUUGGUCGGAAGCUGCUGCCAUGUCAUGUGACACAAACUGCAGUGUGGCAUCUCUACAAGGAAAUGAUGACAACACAUGAGGUAUGUGUAGUCGCGCUGUCUUCCUUCAAGAAUUUGUGGACCACCUGACUCCGUACUUUAGCCUAAUGUCACAGAUCAAGCAGUACCAGCACUUCAGGAGCAUGGUUUUGUUGUCGCCAAGGAGCGUUCAGACUCAGUUGGGACCAGGUUUCAGCUGCUCCCAGUCAUCAUGACUAUCUGCACUGCCUCUAUGCACAUUCACAUGACUUUCUCUUAACACACACAGCAUACGUUGCUGCUAUUAUAAAAAAUGCAUCCUGCUGCUCAGCCACUUUACUGCUUAUUGUAUGCAUAUAUGUAACUACCUUGUGUAUCACCAGUAUCUCUGACAUCGUUAUUGAUAUUGUUCUUGUACAUACUGUAUAGUUUGUUCUUUCUCUACUGGCAUUGACACUUAUUGUUAUUGGUUUUUAUAUAUUGACACUUUCUAUUUUUUAUAUUGCAAGUAACCAUUUGGUUGUACCGUUUACACUUUCUGUAGAGACCCAUCCACUUGGCAUUAUGUCGCUGGGGGUUAUAGAAUUUCUUUCACAUGACCCAUCAAGUUAGACAAGUGUGUCUGGGU